AAGGAAUUAACAACCCUUGGUACUGGCAAUUAUCAGUAAUGAUGCCGCAAUCUAAGCUAAAUGUAAUUUGCACGUGGAGUUGCAAAGCACGGGCGAAAACUAGCGAAGACGUUAAUAUCGGUACUAUGUGAAGAGCGGCAUACGAUUCCGAGUAAAUUGCUCCGGUUGAACUAAUUGGGACUGGAGGAAUUCUGAUUGUUUCGUAUCAACAACUGUUAGAAGUCGAAGACGGUGUUCUGUUUGACACAAAACACAAGCAUUUCAUUGAAAUGGAUAGAGAAGGUCCUCAUAAAAAGUAACAUGUAUUUUUUGGAGUGUGCCCCAAGGCUGUGACUUGGGCCACACGGAUGGCGUGAGCGUCCACCGUCUCGGGAGAUUACAGUGCGUUGGCAUUUGUUCAACAGUAAGGAUACAUGAAUGAAAGUGCACUGUUGGUAUUCAUUAAUGCGUCUGACACUUCGGAAGUUAUCGACGCUGAUAGACGGAUGUCCGUGCUACUAAAACGAUAAUUAUCUUAAUUGUUGCAACGUGUUUCGGAUUGAGCUAUUUACGGUCGUUCAGGUUUAUUGAAUGGGCUCGCUAAAGCCGGUCCAGUUUCAUUACUGGGUACUCGGCAUACCAGCGAUAUGUGCUUUUCUAAAAAGUGGGUGUUUAGUUUAAUAAAGUUGUUUGUGGAUGUUGUAAAAGUUCAAUUAUACUCGAGCUCAAUUUCUUUUCUGAGACUCCAGGUUAUAAUAUUUUUUAUUGAUUAUUGUUUUUUUUUUUCAGUUUGCUUUAUCCAAUUAAAUUGAUCAAACAACGUUCUCAGGAUUCACACUGAAACUACGUACCAUCAUACCAAUCACAAAAAUGUUUAUAUUAAUAACAGAAACGCUUUAAAAGUCUCGAACAGGUCCUUGAUAAUACUUAUAUUGAACAAAAACAGUUCUGCUGAAAAAGGCGACGGCGCAAGAUGGUGCGCUUGUUUCCCACGCAUGCGCACUGGGAACCUGCGGCGAACGCGCACAUGUGCUCGUUUACGCGGGAAAACUCGCCUUGGAACGCGUCGUUCUUUUUUCAAAUUAAAUUUGUGUCAGAGUCAUCAUAAACAAUAUGUGUAAACAAACUUUGAGUUAUUAGGUUAAGGAGUUUGGUUUUAAAAAGGUUUUUAUCAAUCGUUUUAAGUGUGUUCUUUCGAAGUUAUUUAUUUAGGUACUUCAUAUUUUUUUAUAGCAGUUCAAUAAAGAAUACAGUAACAUUCCAAUAAGCUGGCACUUUAAUAUUUUAAUGAUAAUUUGGACAAAAUUACAACUGCGUGCCAAAAUAAACUUUUUAGAUCCGAAAUCCAAGAAGAAAAAUGUAUCUCAAUAACUAUCUCUGACAUGUUUUUAAUGUAUAUCAUGGUAAGCGAGGCCGUCCCGGGCGGACAUCGAACUGGCACCGUCUCACCGUUAUGAUAACCUGUUCUCUCUCAUUAGUUCGACGGACAUCUUACAAUGUAAUUGCAAUUUAUCUCCUGUUUGUAAUGAGCACUACUGUUAGAGUGCGUAGUAUUUUUUCAAAGAAAGAAUUUACAACUGGAUUAGAUAAGCCAUUUGAAAAAAGCUGUUGUAUAGUCAACGGGUAAAUGUACAAAAGAGGUUCAAUAGGUUGGUCAUAUUGUUUGUUUUUUUUCUUGGCGAUGACGUAUGUUUGUAAUUUUUACAUCUGACAGUUUAAAAUAAUUUAUUUGUCAAUCGGUAGUCCAAAUGCAAGGCACGAUAAUUAUGAUGCUGGCAACUUGCGACAGCUGAAAGUAGGUGAAAUGUACAGUAAAGUCCUUACCACUUUAUCGGUCUAUAAAAUAUUAUAUUACAGAGCUCUCGAAGAAAUAAGAAAUUGUGAAUCUUCAAGUACGUAUGAUCUACGGAACAUUGGAUUUCUUGUGUACGACUCCUCAAGAAUCAACCCGGUGACCCAAUAUUAGAAACGACUAUAGUGUCAAUCGAAACAAUUGAAUACAAAACGGAAGCUUUCAUUGCUGUGUUUAUUGAUACGUGUUUCGAUCACCGCCUGCUCCACGCGUCAUUGGCGAUAACCCAACCAGUAAGAUCCGAUGCAAGUCCAAAAACAAAAAACGGAGGAAGUAGCUGGCUGGCAGUAAAAAAAUCAAAUUAUCAUCAUAGUUCGCAAAUGAAGACUACGUUCCACACUCAAACUGACAAUUAAACUUUUUUAAUUCUGGAAUAAGUUACGAAGAUUCGAGUCGAGAAAAUCACAGAGUGUGUAAUUCCUCAGAGCUUGCGUGAAAUGAACUAUCGUAUUUUGCAAACGUAACGUAUAAUUUGUACCUUGCUACUUGUAACGUCUAGAACUUUUAAGUGCAUAUUAUUACGAGUAUCCGUUUACCAGCAAAAGUGUAUGUUUUACGCACUUCUAUCGCGAGAGGGCUGGAGUUGUAAUGACUAAAUUCCUGAAUUAUGUAAUCGUCUGAACCAUGAAGGCUUUGCGUUUUUAUGUGGAAUAUCUAGUAAUUUUCUAUAUUGUGAUUUAGUCAAGAAAACUUCUUGCUAAUAAAAGCACAUAUUUAAAGUUUAUGUGUUUUAAUAAAAUGUAAUUGAUCUAAAAACGUACAUGAAAUAAAAGUUAAAUUUAGAAUCACCGAAAUAAAACUUAGAAUGAUUGAUAAAGCAAGGAGUUCAAAUUCAUUGACCUGCAAUCUAGUCUGAAAGAUAAGUACCAAAACUUACUCACUUUCUAUAAAUAAUCAAUCGUACAAUAGUAAAAAGUACGUCGAUUAGUAAAAAAAACAGUCGUGAGGCCAUCUCGUAGGGAGCCAAGUAAGCGUGACCGUGCAAUGGGGCCGCGUGCGAAUUGCCGGCUAACUGAUUACUGUGGAACCGGUCGUAUCAAAAAUUCUACUACACAACGUAUUUUGGUGUCUGUUAAUCUGCUCCAAAAUGUAAACUUCAAGGCAAUUAUAUUUAUACACCAAGCUUGUAACAAAUACACCGAAAUCCAACUCAUUAGAAAUCAAUACCAAAUGUCUGGAUGCGCACAAUUGGCUAGUAUCUAGUAAAAGUUUAAACUAAUCACCAAAACAAAUGACUUUACUACACGAACGAUCUAUCACAACAGCAAUCUAGAUUAAUUUAUUUACAUUGUUCCUAACUAUUAUGGGAAUAGCAGUCAGUAAUGUGAUUCACCAAUGAUUCCCGUUUAACGAAUGUGUAAAGAGCGUGAGUGAACUCGAUUGGUCAGCGGUCGCGUCGCGUCAUACGUUCUUUUUCUGAUUGGCUACCGAAAAAGCGAUGUGCGUAAUGUUAGUGCAAAUGUCAUUGCGCCGAUUGAUACUUUAACUUGAUUCCAAGUUGGAGGCUCUCUUUGAGGCUCUAUUAAAAUAUGUUUUUAAGAACUGCUGUCUUACUUAACCCUCAGGAGUAUACCAGUAGGAAGCAUAAUAAAUAAAUCGACAAAGAGAAUCGUAUCAAAUCGAAAAACUUCACUUAAGUCCAUCUUCAGUAGCGAACUUAUAAAUCCUCUUUGCAGAAUAAAGUCAAAAACUUUUCUCCCACAACAAAUUAGUUUUUGAGUCUACGUUUUGAUAUUACGAUCGUAAAACUAACACAGUCAAAUCACAUCAUGAUGUAAUGUUUUUAUUAAAACAUUGUUUAUAUGUACAACACAUUGUUUUCUCAUCAUGCAUCGCACAUGUAUGCUGUAUAUUAUUUCAUCGUUUAGUUUAUGUUAUGUAGGCUCGAAAGGUCGCUGACACAAACAAUUCUAUUGUAGAUGCUCAUUUGUUAUCGCAAGAUUAUGUUGUAUAAGCGAAUCGAGAGUCGGCUAUCAUAAUGACAUAUUGUUUAUGAAUUAUCGUCGUGUUCGACGCAAAUUAUAUUAACCUCUACUUAGAUGAUUUUUCUGUUGGCAGUAAUUGACGUUGUCGGUGCAAACUGAGAUUGAAAUGUAAAGUUUAUAAUUUGUAAUAAAACACCACUUAGAAAUAUUACAAGUUUUCCAUUUGUUGUAAAGUUCUUUUCAUCGAUAUCUCUAAUUGGUACACGCGCCACUUCAAGGCAAAUAAAUGAACAGCUUCAUCGCUUUGCCCUUCAACUAGUUAUAACUAGUGCUAUUUUACACGCGUAUUCUAUCAACCGUAGGCACUUUAAAGUUCAACAAAUCAUCUUGUGCAUGCACUUCGAAACUGAAGCAGAAGUUUCAAGUUCAACUUCUCGAAGUUUCUUAAAGUAAGUGAACUUUAAGUAACAAUCUAGGUAACGUUUACAAAAUCACAACGUGUUUGUAAAGGGUGUUCUGCACCGUCACACUUUGUCAACCUAAAUAUAUGUUUGGUUGACAGGAACAAUAAUUCAAAUAUAAUCGUUGGUUGCGUGUUUAAUUUGCAUUCGUAAGCUUCCAUUUAGUUCAAGGGACUUGCGUAGAGUUGAUAUGAGUUUUAGAUAUCAGAAGACGUUCCUGUUUGGGAAUCGUUCAUUGCGUUCGGUCAACUUUGUAUUUGUUUGAGGUAUUUUAAAUUUGAAUUGUGUUAAAGAUGGACAUUGGAGAUAUCGCCAUUUUGUGAUUGAUAAGUAUUUUUGUAAUACCUACUUAAUUGAUAUAUUUUUAAACUUUUCG
Molecule: long non-coding RNA, 4593 nt
Organism: Trichoplusia ni (cabbage looper)
Lineage: Eukaryota; Metazoa; Arthropoda; Insecta; Lepidoptera; Noctuidae
Exons: 3
Source: RefSeq, a predicted model, not a curated record